GCCACUCCCCCUAGCCCGGCUGCGGCCUCCCAGUCUCCUCGGCCACACCCCCUUCCCAACUACUUAAAAGGACACUCCAAAGCUCACGUUUCCCUACUCGGUGCUGGGGUUCCUGUCUCUGAGACUCUACUCGGUGAGUGGCUGCCUUGGGAGGAAGGGAGCUGUUCAAGGCCGGCAAGAGUGAUGCAGAGUGCAAUUGCACUGGGUGACUUCUGAGCUACUUCCAACCCUCACCGUCUAUGAUUCAAUGGAACUCACCCGGCCCAGGAAGGGGCUUCCAGAAAGCCACAACUUCCUGCCUUUGAAGGCCAGGCUGGAGCCCAAGAAGGCUUUGCAGCCCCCUGGGUGUGCUCACUGUGUGAGCCAAGUGUUGUCUUUGGCAAUGAUGCCAACAGCCCGGCUCUGCCUGGGUUUCAGCUGCAUGGAGUGUGAACCAGCUGAGCAGGACCAGCACUGCCCCAGGGCAGGCGGCCAGGUGUGCUGUCUCUGGUCAGACGCGAUGAAUAGCAAAGCCUGAUGUCACCAGGGCCCGGGAACCACCCUGGCUGGGGGAGGCUGGUCUGCUCUGCUCAUGUGCUGGGGGCCUUAUUUCCUCUUUGAAUGUCUUUCUUGAAAAACAAACUCUUUGAGGUGAAAAAACAGUUUAUGGUUUUUCAAACAAUGAUUUGAAAUAAAGCAAAUAUUGGUAACAGGCUCUGCAGAUAGUAAUGUAAAGCUGUGAAAGAGCCACAAAUAAU
Ceratotherium simum simum (southern white rhinoceros) is the source of this 737-nucleotide non-coding RNA. The record is from RefSeq and is a predicted model, not a curated record. Lineage: Eukaryota; Metazoa; Chordata; Mammalia; Perissodactyla; Rhinocerotidae.